AGAAGAGGCCACUGCAGAGCCCAUGCAGCCUGCCCCCCUGAGCCCCAGGCACCCAUUGCCAGGGGCACAUUGAUAGUACCAGGGCAUGAAGAUCCUGAUCAAAUUAAAGUACAAAUGAGGCCUGAGCUGCACCAGCUCCUCCAGCUAUCUCUCCAGACGCUGAAGCAUCUCCUUACUUAACAGUGUGACUGACAGACCACAAGCCUCCAAUACCAAUGAUGUCGGGGUUCUGGAAAUGGCUGCCAGGGAUAGAUGAUGUGUUCAUUUUCAAUAUUUUCCUGGAUGGCUACCGAGAGAAAUAAUGAUAAAGACAGAACAACUGUAAACCAUGAUGCUGUUCUAACUCCAAGAUCCUUGACAGACGCAAGCCAUAGAAGACACCAGCAAAGUGGCAGGUAACUGGCAGAUGAUGGGGGCCUGAAGAAAGUCCUGCUGGGUGGAUAGAAAAGGGUCCACAAUUCCCUCUGGCCACCUCAUUUGUUUGGGGGUGUUUUCUGUUUCUUCUCAGCAGCCAGUUAAUCUUGCUCUGGUUUUGCUUAAACCAAUAUUAAAGUUAGUUUGCAUUUCCUGAGGCGGCCAAGAGAUUUGGGGGAGAUAACAGCGGGUGACAGAGCUAACUCCCCAGGUUACAAGCGACUGCAGAGUAACAAGAGCAAAGCAAGCCAAAAGCAGGAUCAGGAGGAAAUGCCACAGUCAGGAAACCGUCUUUAUUGUCUUUCAAAGAGAAGCAUUUCUUUUACGUAAAUCACCACUGUCCUUUUAAAAAGAAAAAAAAAAGUUGUCGCAGGAGUUUCCCCCACUCUAAUGACAGUUACCUCUGCACC
RNAcentral lists this long non-coding RNA (824 nucleotides) under Cricetulus griseus (Chinese hamster). RNAcentral describes it as "lncRNA (ENSCGRG00015035980.1)". Lineage: Eukaryota; Metazoa; Chordata; Mammalia; Rodentia; Cricetidae. The record is from RNAcentral.